RNAcentral lists this long non-coding RNA (520 nucleotides) under Capsella rubella. RNAcentral describes it as "long non-coding RNA (CRUB_LNC002181)". Lineage: Eukaryota; Viridiplantae; Streptophyta; Magnoliopsida; Brassicales; Brassicaceae. The record is from RNAcentral.
UGUAUUUACGUCAUAUCCAUAAUCUCAUCAUACGAAGAGCUUAAAUUCAGGUUGAGGUAUUAAAAUAGGCAACAUAUGACAUAAUUUUAUCAAAGUUGGGCCUGAGUGGUAAUCACCAAUAGAAUAUCAAAUCUAACCUUGUCCAAGCUUUGCUCCAAUAGUCUCCAAUCCACUAGUUUUAUGAAAGUUGCAAGAUGGUCUACCAUUCGCCUGUUUACAUGUAAAAGUACAAGAGAUCAUCAAAGCACUGAGCCUAUCUCUCUAAGGAAAGAAAACAAGUUGAAUCAAAAUUGAAUUACUACAAGAGAAAUUGCUUUCUUGACUCAUGCACAUCGACAUAAAUAAGCCAGUUAUGAAUGUCAAAUAGUAGAAUAAGUAUUUGGUAGACACAACACCAAAUCUAACCUUAUCCAUUUGCUUUGCUCCACUAGUCUCCAAUGCAAUAGUUUUCUGAAUGUUGCAAGGUCUAACAGUAGAUUGUUUACAUGUAAAUGUCCAAGAGAUCAUUAGAGCAUUAAGC